This 425-nucleotide ribosomal RNA is filed under the name uncultured bacterium. Its description in RNAcentral is "partial 16S ribosomal RNA". It matches the Rfam family "Bacterial small subunit ribosomal RNA", at positions 354 to 796 of the family's 1533-position model. The record is from RNAcentral.
GUGGGGAAUCUUGCGCAAUGGGCGAAAGCCUGACGCAGCCAUGCCGCGUGAAUGAUGAAGGUCUUAGGAUUGUAAAAUUCUUUCACCGGGGACGAUAAUGACGGUACCCGGAGAAGAAGCCCCGGCUAACUUCGUGCCAGCAGCCGCGGUAAUACGAAGGGGGCUAGCGUUGCUCGGAAUUACUGGGCGUAAAGGUCGCGUAGCCGGACAGUUUAGUCAGAGGUGAAAGCCCAGGGCUCAGCCUUGGAAUUGCCUUUGAUACUGGCUGGCUUGAGUACGGGAGAGGUGAGUGGAACUCCGAGUGUAGAGGUGAAAUUCGUGGAUAUUCGGAAGAACACCAGUGGCGAAGGCGACUCACUGGCCCGUUACUGACGCUGAGGCGCGAAAGCGUGGGGAGCAAACAGGAUUAGAUACCCUAGUAGUCC